This 1711-nucleotide ribosomal RNA is filed under the name groundwater metagenome. RNAcentral's name for it is "bacterial LSU rRNA". It matches the Rfam family "Bacterial large subunit ribosomal RNA", at positions 641 to 2326 of the family's 2925-position model. The record is from RNAcentral.
CGUGGUUAAGGAAGCGGAGCUUCCGGAGCCGUAGCGAAAGCGAGUCCGAAUAGGGCGCUUGUCGCCAGGAGCAGGCCCGAAGCCGGGUGAGCUACCCAUGGCCAGGGUGAAGGUUCGUUAAACCGAACUGGAGGCCCGAACUCGUGAGCGUUGCAAAGCUCUGGGAUGAGCUGUGGGUAGUGGUGAAAUGCCUAUCGAACCCGGUUAUAGCUGGUUCUCCCCGAAAUGUAUUGAGGUACAGCCUCAGGAGUUCCCUUGGGGAGGUAGAGCUCUGGAUGGGUUAGGGGGCGUGAGCUUACCAAUCCCAACCAAACUGCAAAUGCCCCAAGGCAUAUCCUGGGAGUGAGACGGCGGGGGAUAAGCUCCGUCGUCGAGAGGGAAACAGCCCAGACCACCGGCUAAGGUCCCUAAGGGCGAGCUUAGUGGGAAAGGUAGUGGGGCCCCUAAAACAGCCAGGAGGUUGGCUCAGAAGCAGCCAUCCUUGAAAGAGUGCGUAAUAGCUCACUGGUCGAGGGGUCCUGCGCCGACAAUGUAACGGGGCUGAAGCUCGCCACCGAAGCCGUGGGUCCCGACCUCGGUCGGGACGGUAGGGGAGCGUUCCCGUUCCGGUGAAGUCGUGAUGGAAAUCACGGUGGAGGGACGGGAAGUGAGAAUGCCGGCAUGAGUAGCGCAACUUCGGUGAAAACCCGAAGCGCCGCAAGCCCAAGGUUUCCUACGCAACGGCAGUCGACGUAGGGUUAGGCGGGCCUAAGCCGUAGCCGCAAGGCGAAGGCGAUGGACAGUGGGUCAAUAUUCCCACCCCAUCGGACGACCGUUACGAGCCGCGAGGGGGAACGGGAAGGUAGGUGAGGCGUGUGGAUGGUUUGCACGUCCUCCGCUGAAGGCGAAGCCGGGGGAGGCCAAUCCCCCCUGGAUAAGUAGCUGAGAGCGGAGGGGACCUCGACUUCGGUCGGGGAACCUCGCUAAACCUAGACCGUCAAGAAAAGCCACGCGGCCAGGGCGUCUGAUGACCGUACCGCAAUCCGACACUGGUGGGCUGGGAUAAGCGUCCUAAGGCGCACGAGAGAACCCUCGUUAAGGAACUCGGCAAGUUAACCCCGUAACUUUGGAAUAAGGGGUGCCCCUGAGGUGAACGCCCUCGCGGCGGGAGCCUUGGGGGUCGCAGCGCAGCGGCCCAGGCGACUGUUUAGCAAAAACACAGGUCUCUGCCAAGGGGUAACCCGAGGUAUAGGGGCUGACGCCUGCCCAGUGCCGGAAGGUUAAAGGGAAAGGUCAUUCCGACGCAAGUCGGGAGAAGCUUUGAACUGAAGCCCCGGUGAACGGCGGCCGUAACUAUAACGGUCCUAAGGUACCGAAGUCCCUUGUCGGGGAAGUUCCGACCCGCAGGAAUGGCGUCACGACCUGGGUACUGUCUCAACGAGGGGCUCGGCGAAAUUGCAUGACCCGUGAAGAUGCGGGUUUCCCGCAACAAGACAAAAAGACCCCGUGGAGCUUUACUGUAACUUGGCACUGGACUGGGGUCCGGGAUGUGUAGGAUAGGCGGGAGGCUUUGAACUCCCCACGCCAGUGGGGAGGGAGCCGUCGUUGAAAUACCGCCCUUUUCGGAUUUUGGCUCUAACUCCGCGCCAGCGGAGGACCGUGCCAGGCGGGCAGUUUGACUGGGGCGGUCGCCUCCCAAAAGGUAACGGAGGCGUUCAAAGGUCCCCUCAAG